CUGAACUUAGUUGAAGUUCGCCAUACCGAAAAAGAGUUUGGUUGAUCUGAAGUUGAAUUCCCUUAACUUCAAUUCGACCAAGUCGGGUUGAAAACCGCAAUAGGGGCAUAAAUAUUAAAAGUAGAAAACUCCUUUCCAAAACAAUAAUAUGUACUAACAGAAAUUUGGUGAACAUCAUGUGUGUGCUAAAAAUUACGAUGAUAUGGAGCGCUGCCUUGUGAUAAUAAGGAAAUUCGCUGAAAUGCCUUCUUUCCGGCUACGUGUUGCUGUGGCUGAGUGAUUCAAGAGGGAUUUUAAAGACAAAAUUUAACACAAAUUAACAUAACAUUUUUAUAACAUAUUUAAUAAAUACUUUAAAUAUUUUUAUUUGAUAUAUAUACUCUAAAUGUCUUUAAUCGUAAUAAAUCACAGUUAUUGAACAUUAAGCGCCAAUCGAUGUUCAAUAUUUUUGAUCAAUCGGUCCUUUGUUAAUACAAAUAAACUUGAUGGUCUUCCUACUCGUGAACACGCUACGUAUAAUUGCCCAUGGGAGAAACAUGGAUUUUCCAAGUCUAAUCCGCAAAUAGACAUUGUUUGGCCUUGGGAUUUAUUUAUAGUCAUCGCGAAAGCUAAACGAAUGGAAAACUGUAGUCUUUUAAAUAGUAGAAUCGGAUGGUAUCAUCGGAAUUUGUGUUUUUCAUUUGGGAAGUCGAUUUUCAGCAGAAAUUAGAUUCAUUGCUCUAAUAAACAUUUGUUUGUUUACAUUUUUUCCUUUUUGUAGUGUCUAAAUCAGCUGUGAUAAUUUAAUAGAUUUCCAUUGUAUUUGCACCGUUUUUACACAAUCUAUUUUUUAAUAUAAAUACACAAAUUUCAAUAAAAAUUAAAUUUAAUUGAGAAUUUCCACCUAUGUGUUCCAGCACCUGAGCAAAUAAACCAGCUGUAGAAUUUCAGUUAAACGAAAAGGUCUCAGAUUGUUGUAAUUGGUGCUUUUGUUGUGGGUUGUUUUCCAAUUGGAGAAGUAAUACCCAACUGUUCGCAUAGGGUUGCAAAGUCUUUAUUGUUUUUUGUUUGUUUUUUCAAUGAUAAGUGAGCAAUAAAAAAAUAAUUGUAAAAUAGUACAGUCAAAACCAGUAUUUUUAUAAAUCAGCUAAAAUAUAUUGCUUUUUUAACUUAUACCAUGUUCAGACCGACACUUAAUCACACGAUUUCGGCUGUUGAAUGGAUUAUCCCACUAAUCUUAAAAAUUUAUCAAGAUUUCGCCAUACAAAGAUGACAGUUCCAAAUCACUUCAUUGAAAUGAUUUGAAACUGAUCCACGCUAAAUCUCUCUGUGCGACUCUGAUUUUCCGCAAUCUACUUGUCAGCUCUGGAAAUCUGUUACAUUAUCACAGCUGAUUUAGACACUACAAAGGGGAAAAAAUGUAAACAAACAAAUUUUUUUAAAGCAAUGAAUCUAAUUUCAUCUGAAAAUCGACUUAACAAAUGAAAAAAUGCAUCCACUAUUUCUAUUAUAUGGAAAAUAUUUAAAAAAGCCGUAUUUUUAUUUCAAAAUACUAUAUUACAAUCUUUUCUUUUGAUAAAUAUUAAGCGAUGUUAAUUCUUUAAUGACUAUAACAGCUGUUUUUUAAUCUUUCUAACGGCAGUGAGAACACUGUUGGGUUAUGAAAUGCUUAAAUAUAAUCUAAUCUUUUAAAUUUUCGGUCUGAACAUGGUAUUACAUUGUUUUGCGUUUAAUUUAAGUUUACAUUCAUAAUUUGUAAUUUAAUUAAACUUAUUUGUGCUGGUAACCCUUCUCUUUAUGUAUAAUAUGAUAUAAAUAAAUGCAUACAUGCAUCUCCUAAAUAGAAAUAGUUAUUCCUGCAUACACACCACCGGUGGUCAUCGAAUGGCAUCCACAUAGGGUAUUGUAGUAAACUACCUGCCGCAUACAACACUGCGCUGUUGGCAUUUAAUUUUGCGUCAAAAAAAACCUAAAUUUCGAGCUUCUAAACCAGAAUACCCCUUUAAUCCAAGAAUCACACAGACGACGAGGGGAAAAUUCAACAUGAAGAUGUCCGACUAAAAUCAGCAGCUGAACGAAUAAACAUAGAAAGGACCAAAUGGAAACAACGACAACAAACAAACAUCGUAAACCGAGACAGUAUAACGAGUGAGAUUCAGUUGUAAUAAACUACGUGCCUCCUCCAAAGUGGACAUCUCAAAGCUUGAUUCGGCAUACAAAGAUCCAUAUUUGGUAACGAAGGUAUUACCCAACGAUCGCUACGUGGUUGAAAAUAUACCAGAUAUACCGAAUCGGCGGAAGCGCUACGCAGGAUUAUUUUUGAACGACAAUAUGAAGCCAUGGCGCGCUUUACGUAUGACGGAUGACGAAUACGACACCAAAUGUUCACCUAAAAGCAUCGACUACAUCGCUAAUGGAGAAUCGUCCCGGAGAGACGAUCUAUCAGGAGUGGCCGAGCUGAUGGCAACCCAGCUGCUGAUAUGCCGUGUUGCAAGGCAGACAGCAAAUAGGAGAGUUGGUAGAAGGCAUAAGCGAGUGUCGCUACGUAUUUCAAUUUCUUUAUAGUUCUUGUAUAUUUUUAUAUUCGUGAUUUUUUUCAAUAUAUUUAAUCGACACUUACAAUUGUUUUUAUUAACAAUCCUACCUUUCAAGUUGGUUCAAACUGGACA
Molecule: long non-coding RNA, 2648 nt
Organism: Bactrocera neohumeralis
Lineage: Eukaryota; Metazoa; Arthropoda; Insecta; Diptera; Tephritidae
Exons: 3
Source: RefSeq, a predicted model, not a curated record